This 440-nucleotide ribosomal RNA is filed under the name uncultured soil bacterium. RNAcentral's name for it is "bacterial SSU rRNA". It matches the Rfam family "Bacterial small subunit ribosomal RNA", at positions 26 to 518 of the family's 1533-position model. The record is from RNAcentral.
AGAACGAACGCUGGCGGCAGGCUUAACACAUGCAAGUCGAACGGGUGCGAGCAAUCGCAUCAGUGGCAGACGGGUGAGUAACACGUGGGAACCUUCCUAGGGGUACGGAACAACUCAGGGAAACUUGAGCUAAUACCGUAUACGUCCGUGAGGAGAAAGAUUCAUCGCCCCUAGACGGGCCCGCGUCGGAUUAGGUAGUUGGUGGGGUAACGCCUACCAAGCCUACGAUCCGUAGCUGAUCUGAGAGGAUGAUCAGCCACACUGGGACUGAGACACGGCCCAGACUCCUACGGAGGCAGCAGUGGGGAAUCUUGGACAAUGGGGAAACCCUGAUCAGCCAUGCCGCGUGAGUGAAGAAGGCCUGGUUGUAAAGCUCUUUGCCAGGGACGAUAAUGACGGUACCUGGAGAAUAAGCCCGCAAACUUCGUGCCAGCAGCCGC